RNAcentral lists this ribosomal RNA (253 nucleotides) under uncultured bacterium. RNAcentral describes it as "partial 16S ribosomal RNA". It matches the Rfam family "Bacterial small subunit ribosomal RNA", at positions 524 to 776 of the family's 1533-position model. The record is from RNAcentral.
UACGGAGGGGGCGAGCGUUGUCCGAAUUUAUUGGGCGUAAAGCGCGUGUAGGCGGAUUGCCAAGCCUGGGGUGAAAGCCCGGAGCUCAACUCCGGAACGGCCCUGGGGACUGGUAGUCUGGAGGCAGGCAGAGGAGAGUGGAAUUCCUGGUGUAGCGGUGGAAUGCGUAGAGAUCAGGAAGAACACCCAUGGCGAAGGCAGCUCUCUGGGCCUGUACUGACGCUGAGACGCGAAAGCGCGGGGAGCGAACGGG